UGGGGAAUAUUGGACAAUGGGCGAAAGCCUGAUCCAGCCAUGCCGCGUGUGUGAAGAAGCUCUUCGGAUUGUAAAGCACUUUAAGUUGGGAGGAAGGGCAGUAAGCGAAUACCUUGCUGUUUUGACGUUACCGACAGAAUAAGCACCGGCUAACUCUGUGCCAGCAGCCGCGGUAAUACAGAGGGUGCAAGCGUUAAUCGGAAUUACUGGGCGUAAAGCGCGCGUAGGUGGUUCGUUAAGUUGGAUGUGAAAGCCCCGGGCUCAACCUGGGAACUGCAUCCAAAACUGGCGAGCUAGAGUAGGGCAGAGGGUGGUGGAAUUUCCUGUGUAGCGGUGAAAUGCGUAGAUAUAGGAAGGAACACCAGUGGCGAAGGCGACCACCUGGGCUCAUACUGACACUGAGGUGCGAAAGCGUGGGGAGCAAACAGG
This 429-nucleotide ribosomal RNA is filed under the name Pseudomonadota bacterium. RNAcentral describes it as "Proteobacteria bacterium partial 16S ribosomal RNA". It matches the Rfam family "Bacterial small subunit ribosomal RNA", at positions 355 to 776 of the family's 1533-position model. Lineage: Bacteria; Pseudomonadati; Pseudomonadota. The record is from RNAcentral.